This 3124-nucleotide long non-coding RNA is filed under the name Lathyrus oleraceus (garden pea). RNAcentral describes it as "Pisum sativum (pea) long non-coding RNA (PSAT_LNC021632)". The record is from RNAcentral. Lineage: Eukaryota; Viridiplantae; Streptophyta; Magnoliopsida; Fabales; Fabaceae.
UUUCACAUAAAUCAAUUUUUAUUAUAUAGUUUAUUCUUUGAAGUUAUUUUUAUUCAAACAUGAUGAUUGCAUUACAAUUUUCAUUUACUCAUUUUGCAUUUGAAGGUAUUAAUUUUGGACAUCCAGCCUGGCAAUCUACGUCUUCAGUACAAGAUGCUUCUGGUUUCAUGCACAUAUCUACGUAUAUAAAUAAUGUUUGUAAAUAUUAUAUUAAUUUUGUAUGUAAAGAUUACAACAUAUUGAAAAUACAUUUUUAUAAAUUACUCAUGGAUUUUCAACCUGAUAUGUACAUGCAGAAAGCAAGUAAGAAUAUCAUUAUGAGAGCAGAAAUCUAUUUCUUUGUAGUAUCCAUCUUGUAUAUACAACAUAUUAUAUUUUACACAUGUCUAUUAUUUAUAGAUGCAUGAGGUGUGACUAAAUCUUGACCAUAUUAAUUAGUUAAAAUUUAUUUAUAAAAUUUAAAAUAACUUUUACUUUAUAUUAAAAAGAGAAGCAUUAAAAAAAGAAAGGUAAAACCAAAGGUCCAUCUAACAUGAGACAUUCCUAAUAUAUGUUUUACAAAUUCUUUUCUAUGGUCAAUAGGAAUAUAUAUAUAUAUAUAUAUAACAUUUUAAAUUGAGUAUAUGAUACUUUCAAAACCAUUACUCUUUUUUUUAGAAAAAUAGUAUUUUUUUAGUAUAUGAUUAGAAAAUUUAUGUUUUAAAUUUUUUCUUUUCGUGUUUGUUAUAUUUUCAACUGUUUUUUUCUUGAAGUUUUAUUUUUCUAUAUAUUUAAUCUUAUUUUGAGGCCCUUCACCCACACACAGUAAUACCUGAUUUCUUUAAAAUAGUUAAUAACAAGAAUUUUAACAAUUUUAAAAUUUCAAAUAAAUUAAAUUAUAUGAAGGUAAAGUGUAACAAAGGAGAAAAAAUAUUAGAAAUAUUGUAUUUGAAGUUUUAUCAAGGGUAUGGCAAUUAGAAAAAGUUUAAAAAAUCCGCCUAACGCUCACAUUCACCAACAAUUUAAUGUACUUUUAAACAUUUCACUUUUACAUGUCUCGUAUCGUUGGAUUUGUGCCCUAGCAUAAAUACUAAGAAUAUGAAACUGCCUCUAAAAGUGCACGAGCCUAUGUCCUAAUCCUAGAUUCCACACUUUUGUUCAAGAGCCUGAACCGACGAACGCAAAUAACCAUUAUAUCAUAGCCAUAACAUAGAGAAGUAAUUGGUUUCCUCCUUCACAGUUUUUCACUUUUACAAAAGUAAGAGUUCUCAACACUAUAUGUAAUUUACAUGCCAUAAUAGAUUCCCUAACCAGGUUCGAGGUAGCUACCCUACCUCUAAAAAUAAAAUUUUCAACUUUACAAACCUAAUCAUAAUCGUAAAACACCCAGACUUUCGAUCAUAAAACACAACUCUGGAAGUACUCCCCCAAGACACGGUUAAAUACUAAAUGGUAUAGUUUAUUGUAUAUUUCUAGCAUGGUUCAUCCCAUCUAGUUAAGCUAUAUAAAUAUGUGAAUAGGUUGUAGCUUUUUUAUUUUAUAAUUUAUAACUUUACUUAUAAAUAGUUUAUAAUAUAAUUACAAACAUGUCAUUUUACAAUUAUAUUUAUUAAAGUUGAUUUUUCUUAUUGAUGACACUUUUUUUUAGAUUAUAUUGAUUUCUAUAACACUUUCAAGAAAACGAAGAUAAAAAUACACAAAUGUAUACACAAGUUAAAAUAGAAAAAACACUAAUAAGAGUUUAAUGAAUUUCAUUUAUCUACUAACAUAUAAGAGACAAAAUGAUCAUAAUAGCCAAAUUAGGUAGCUAUUGAUACAAUUGAACCGAAGGGUGUAAUAUUAGUUAAAUUUUACACUAAGAGACCUAACACAAGUGAUAAGAUCUUCUCAUAAUAGUUUGUUAACACCAUAAUUGUAAAAAAAUAGUACCUUACAAAAGUUGUGAGGUUACGUGCACCUAAAAAUUUAAAAACAUUUAUUGUUUGAUUUGGUGUUAAAAGUGUUUAUUAUUUCAUAAAAAUGAACUUAAGCUUAUUUUUUAGAUCCAUUGUUUUAUAAUUGAUGUAUAAAAUAGUUUACCUUCUUCUUUAAUCAUAUGAAACAGAUAGUUGACAUAUUAUAAAAAUCAAUGAAAAAAUAAAUCUAAAUUACUAGAUGAUCUCUUACCUUCAAAAUUUAAAACUAUAAGAAGAUGUAAAAUCAUAGUAAAGUACUAAUUAAUUAAAAACUUUUCAUAAAACGAACUUAUUACAGUGUGGUAGUGUAUUGAAUCAUAGUAAAAUAUUAAAUUUGUAAGUCUUUUAGUCCAGAAAAUGAACUAAUAAACUUAUCUACUGAUGUUUCGCAUAUUAGAAUGAUGGUCUAAGAUAUAUAUCAUAUUAUUAAUACACAAAAUUUAAAUAUAAUACACAUAUUUUAUAAAUAUAUAAUAAAUUAUUGAAAUUCGUAUAAUAAUAAUAAUAAUAAUAAUAAUAAUAAUAAUAAUAAUAAUAAUAAUAAUAAUAAUAUAAAUUGAAAAUUGUAAAANACACAAAAUUUAAAUAUAAUACACAUAUUUUAUAAAUAUAUAAUAAAUUAUUGAAAUUCGUAUAAUAAUAAUAAUAAUAAUAAUAAUAAUAAUAAUAAUAAUAAUAAUAAUAAUAAUAAUAUAAAUUGAAAAUUGUAAAACAAAAACAUGAUAUUGAUAGAAGUAUCAUGCUACAACAAUUAAUUCAAAAAAGUUUUAUUAUUUUUCAAUUUUUAUUAUAAGUUUUAUUCUUUAAAAUUAUUUUUAUUCAAACAUGAUGAUUGCAUUACAAUUUUCAUUUACUCAUUUUGCAUUUGAAGGUAUUAAUCUUGGAGUAAUAUCAUAUAAAGAUUUUGCACCAAUACACCAACAUCGUCCGUCAAUACACUGUCCUUGUUUUCCUGGACAUCCAGCCUGGCAAUCUACGUCUUCAGUACAAGAUGCUUCUGAUUUCAUGCACAUAUCUGCAUAUACAAAUAAUGUUUGUAAGUAUUAUAUUAAUUUGGCAUGUAAAGAUUACAACAUAUUGAAAAUAAAUUUUUAUAAAUUACUCAUGGAUUUUCAACCUGAUGCGUAGAUGCAGAAAGCAAGUAAGAAUAUCAUUAUGAGAGCAGAAAUCUUUGUAGUAGCCAUCUUGUA